UCCCACUGCAUUUCAAGGAUCUAUUUGGCAUGGCAUUGGUGGUCAAGAAUAUUAAUCUUAUAUCAUUAUAUGCAAAUCAUCACAAUACAUUAGAGGGUUAAUAUACUAUAGAAUGAGAAUUUGACGAAUGAAUAUACAGGAAAAAUAAACAAUUCACCAGGGAAUUCAAUGCCUAUAAUUAAUACAUGGUGUUGAGUGUAAGCCAUCCAUAACGUACAAUUUAUUUGGGUGUUGUAAUUUUUGUCUUGUAUCAAUCUCCCUAACUGGAGAACUUCCAGCGCUCCUGCUGGAUCCCCAGACUUUACCUCUUUUCUUGGCUGUGCAAAAUUCUUGACUCUUGCUUAUUCCUGGAACCAAUCUCCUCCUGCACACCUUGUCUAAUAAAUCUCUGUCUUCUUUAGAAAGUUGAACGCUGUUGGUUGUAGUACUGUAGUUGAGGGAUAAAAGUUGUUGCAUCUUGGUUUGGAAAACCAGUCCCUUCCGAGUAGGAGAUCGAACUGGCAUAGCUUUGAAACCAUGAUCUCUAUUUCUUACUAAGUUUAUCAACUGAUGAAGCAGUGUCACCAAUUCAAGAAUGUAUGUGUCAGUCGUCUGCUUGUGAGCAUGGUAAAGUGUCUGUAGGCGGAUCAGGUUGUUCUGUGUUGUUGAAUUCUUGUCAAAUUCAUUUCUAUCAGAAAAAACAAGCAGCAUCAAGAUUAAUUCCACCAAAUAUGAAGCAUCAUUUUCUAGUAGAAAUUAGGAGAGAGAUGAAUGGGAAGAAAUGUCAACUAACCCAGUAUUUGCCCAUUCUCCAACCCACCCAAAACCUUGGUGUGCUUUGUUGGUGUUGGUGGCGAUGGGUACAAGCCACUGCAGAGUCUUUUCCAUUUCAGCUUUCACCUGAGCUACUGUGAGCUCUUCCUUAGUGUCAACCAUCUGUAGUCGGGAACGUAGAGCUGUCUUAACACUGGUAGGCAACCCAUGAUAUAAAUUAUCCCUUGUAUUAGGAGGAAGGGAGGUGGGGCGAGAUGCCUAAUAAAAUACAAUUUUUCUUUAAAAAUAAUCCCCUGAGAAGAGGAAAAGGAAAAAGGAAAGGAACGGUAUACCCACAAUGUUGUCAAUCUGGUUGAUGACAUUAGCAUAGUGCAGUGCGAGACCAGAUGCACCUAGCGUUUGAGGAUUCUUGCCAGGCUCCUCACUAGCCAAUCUGACACCAUUGUUUCCAAAUGCUUCUAAGAUAGCUUGGUGUAAGUAGGUAGCUAUAUCAACAAGCUUCUCCACAAUCUCCUCCAAAUUUUUUGACCAUAGUGAUUUCUUUUUCAAGCUCCUUACAAGCUUUCUUUGUUGUUUUAGCUCACUUUGUAAAAUUGUGAGACUCUCUCCUUUUUUGGGGAGAUGUAAGGACUCCACUUCGUCAAGCCUCUGCUGGUAAUCCUGUUCAAAUCUGUCCAGAGCAUGCAAUUCAUGAUAUAAUUCAGAGGUAUGUUGAGCCAGAGUAGUCAACUCCUGAAUUGUGGUUUCUGCCGCUGCUCUAGGUUGUCUAUCAGCGGAAUACUCUGAAUCUAAUUUUGUAAAAUAUCGACCCAGGCCAUGCCAUUGUGGGUCUUUACAUAGAUCUCCAAACCGAAUUACUUCACGUGCAAAUACAUCAAAUUCCUCUCUUUUAUCAGCAGCAGCAAGAAUUAGCAACUCUUUCACAUCAGUCGAAACAAGUUGUUGUACUCCUUUUGAAUGUAAUAUCUCCUUUUUCAGGAAUUGAACAUUUUCUUCUGAAAGUGAUUGAAAUAAGUUUGCACCUUUGGCUAUUGUGUUAGCUACUUCAAAUGCCAAUAUAGAUAUUCUGUUCCCUCUAGAAGCCAUGCCAGAGACAAAGCUACUCCUGGCAUUCAGAUUUGACAUGCUACUGCCAAGAGUGUCUAAAACUUCAACUGCUUUUUUCAGGCUCACAGCCCCAGCUUUUCCAAUAAAUGAACUCCUCUGGCCAUCCUUGGCAGCUCCACCCCUAGCAGGCGUUGACGGCUUAAGUUCUCUUGAGAAAGACAAGAACAGCUCACCGGAUUUAUACCUCUGCGGUGUGGUAGUCUUGCCAAAAUUAUCAUCAUUGUUAUUAGUAAAGGAAUGAAAAUUCUCUUUAUGCUUGCUAAAGCUCUUAAUUGAGUUUAGCUUCCCAGAAAACCCAGGAUUUUUCUGUGCUGCAACUUUAUCAUGCUUUCCUUUCGUCCCUCCAGAACAAACUCCUCCCAUCGUUCUUGAAAAUUCCUUGGAGCUCAAACAAUUUCCUGAUCAGAGAGAAUGGAAUUGGGAUUAAGAAGAAGAGAAGAUUCAACAGCAAGGACAAGGUCAGAGCAGUUACAGUAGGAAGAAGCAAAGGGAAGAUAGAAGAUUAUUAAAGAGUUGGUUUUGAGAAAUUCUUUGAAUGAACGCGUUUAUUUUGGCAGCAAUGGAAAUCCCGUGGGGGAAUGGAAUUUUUGACCGAGAUAGAAUUGAAUAAUAAAGGAGAAAUAAGGCAAAGAAACCGAAAGGAUUGACUAUUACAAAAAAAAAUCUCAAUUAAAUUAAAUAAAAAAUAGAAAUGGUGGUGGUGGUGCUGCUGUCAGUUGUGUAGAUGUACAGAUAAGAAUGGAGAACAGGCUCAGAAGGGGACACAAC
RNAcentral lists this unclassified non-coding RNA (2628 nucleotides) under Hevea brasiliensis (rubber tree). Lineage: Eukaryota; Viridiplantae; Streptophyta; Magnoliopsida; Malpighiales; Euphorbiaceae. The record is from RNAcentral.